This 265-nucleotide ribosomal RNA is filed under the name uncultured bacterium. Its description in RNAcentral is "partial 16S ribosomal RNA". It matches the Rfam family "Bacterial small subunit ribosomal RNA", at positions 793 to 1055 of the family's 1533-position model. The record is from RNAcentral.
GUCCUUGCCUUAAACUAUGUAUACUUGGUGUUGUUGGGCUCAACCCUGACAGUACCGUAGCGAACGCGUUAAGUAUACCGCCUGGGGAGUACGCUCGCAAGGGUAAAACUCAAAAGAAUUGACGGGGACCCGCACAAGCAGUGGAGCAUGUGGUUUAAUUCGAUGCAACGCGAAGAACCUUACCUGGACUUGACAUGCUUUUGACCGCUGCAGAAAUGCAGUUUUUUCGCAAGAAACAGAAGCACAGGUGCUGCAUGGCUGUCGU